CUACGGGGCGCAGCAGUGGGGAAUAUUGGACAAUGGGGGAAACCCUGAUCCAGCAAUGCCGCGUGUGUGAAGAAGGCCUGCGGGUUGUAAAGCACUUUCGGUUGGGAGGACUGCUUCUAGCACUAAUAUUGUUGGAAGUUGACGUUACCUUCAGAAGAAGCACCGGCUAACUCCGUGCCAGCAGCCGCGGUAAUACGGAGGGUGCAUGCGUUAAUCGGAAUUACUGGGCGUAAAGCGCGCGUAGGCGGCUAGAUCAGUCGGGUGUGAAAGCCCCGGGCUUAACCUGGGAACUGCAUCCGAUACUGUCUAGCUUGAGUACAGGAGAAGAGAGUGGAAUUCCACAUGUAGCGGUGAAAUGCGUAGAUAUGUGGAGGAACACCAAUGGCGAAGGCAGCUCUCUGGCCUGAUACUGACGCUGAGGUGCGAAAGCGUGGGGAGCAAACAGGAUUAGAUACCCUUGUAGUC
Molecule: ribosomal RNA, 465 nt
Filed under: uncultured bacterium
Lineage: Bacteria
Description: partial 16S ribosomal RNA
Rfam family: Bacterial small subunit ribosomal RNA
Source: RNAcentral